Molecule: ribosomal RNA, 494 nt
Filed under: uncultured bacterium
Lineage: Bacteria
Description: partial 16S ribosomal RNA
Rfam family: Bacterial small subunit ribosomal RNA
Source: RNAcentral
GACGAACGCUGGCGGCGUGCCUAAUACAUGCAAGUCGAGCGGACUUAAAAAGCUUGCUUUUUAAGUUAGCGGCGGACGGGUGAGUAACACGUGGGCAACCUGCCUGUAAGACUGGGAUAACUUCGGGAAACCGGAGCUAAUACCGGAUAAUCCUUUUCUACUCAUGUAGAAAAGCUGAAAGACGGUUUACGCUGUCACUUACAGAUGGGCCCGCGGCGCAUUAGCUAGUUGGUGAGGUAACGGCUCACCAAGGCGACGAUGCGUAGCCGACCUGAGAGGGUGAUCGGCCACACGGGGACUGAGACACGGCCCAGACUCCUACGGGAGGCAGCAGUAGGGAAUCUUCCGCAAUGGACGAAAGUCUGACGGAGCAACGCCGCGUGAGUGAUGAAGGUGUUCGGAUCGUAAAACUCUGUUGUUAGGGAAGAACAAGUAUGAGAGUAACUGCUCGUACCUUGACGGUACCUAAACAGAAAGCCACGGCUAACUACGUG